Molecule: ribosomal RNA, 1431 nt
Filed under: uncultured bacterium
Lineage: Bacteria
Description: bacterial SSU rRNA
Rfam family: Bacterial small subunit ribosomal RNA
Source: RNAcentral
GACAGGCUUAACACAUGCAAGUCGAGGGGCAGCGGGGGUGAUGGCUUGCCAUCACCUGCCGGCGACCGGCGCACGGGUGAGUAACACGUAUGCAACCUGCCCGCCACAGGGGGAUAAGCGGAAGAAAUUCCGUCUAAUACCGCGUGACGCGGCGCCGGGGCAUCCCGGUGCCGCCAAAGGGAUUACCGGUGGCGGAUGGGCAUGCGGCGCAUUAGCUAGUCGGCGGGGUAACGGCCCACCGAGGCGACGAUGCGUAGGGGUUCUGAGAGGAAGGUCCCCCACACUGGUACUGAGACACGGACCAGACUCCUACGGGAGGCAGCAGUGAGGAAUAUUGGUCAAUGGGCGCGAGCCUGAACCAGCCAAGUCGCGUGAGGGAUGACGGUCCUACGGAUUGUAAACCUCUUUUGCCGGGGAGCAAGCGUGCGUUCGUGAACGCGCGUCGAGAGUACCCGGAGAAAAAGCAUCGGCUAACUCCGUGCCAGCAGCCGCGGUAAUACGGAGGAUGCGAGCGUUAUCCGGAUUUAUUGGGUUUAAAGGGUGCGUAGGCGGGAUGCCAAGUCAGCGGUAAAAAUGCGGUGCUCAACGCCGUCGAGCCGUUGAAACUGGCGUUCUUGAGUGGGCGAGAAGUAUGCGGAAUGCGUGGUGUAGCGGUGAAAUGCAUAGAUAUCACGCAGAACUCCGAUUGCGAAGGCAGCAUACCGGCGCCCUACUGACGCUGAGGCACGAAAGCGUGGGUAUCGAACAGGAUUAGAUACCCUGGUAGUCCACGCAGUAAACGAUGAAUGCUAACUGUCCGGCUCGAAUGAGCGCUGGGCGGUACAGCGAAAGCGUUAAGCAUUCCACCUGGGGAGUACGCCGGCAACGGUGAAACUCAAAGGAAUUGACGGGGGCCCGCACAAGCGGAGGAACAUGUGGUUUAAUUCGAUGAUACGCGAGGAACCUUACCCGGGCUCAAACGCAGGAUGACGGGUCCCGAAAGGGGUCUUUCUUCGGACAUUCUGCGAGGUGCUGCAUGGUUGUCGUCAGCUCGUGCCGUGAGGUGUCGGCUUAAGUGCCAUAACGAGCGCAACCCCUGUCCACAGUUGCCAGCAGGUAAAGCUGGGGACUCUGUGGAGACUGCCGGCGCAAGCUGCGAGGAAGGCGGGGAUGACGUCAAAUCAGCACGGCCCUUACGUCCGGGGCGACACACGUGUUACAAUGGCAGGUACAGCGGGAUGCCACGGGGCGACCCGGCGCUGAACCCGAAAACCUGUCUCAGUUCGGAUUGGAGUCUGCAACCCGACUCCAUGAAGCUGGAUUCGCUAGUAAUCGCGCAUCAGCCACGGCGCGGUGAAUACGUUCCCGGGCCUUGUACACACCGCCCGUCAAGCCAUGGAAGCCGGGGGUACCUGAAGUGCGUGACCGCGAGGAGCGCCCUAGGGUAAAACC